GUCUAAGUUCACACCCUCGCACGGUGAAACCGCGAAUGGCUCAUUAAAUCAGUCGAGGUUCCUUAGAUGAUCCAUUUCUACUUGGAUAACUGUGGCAAUUCUAGAGCUAAUACAUGCGGACCAGCUCCGACCCGGUGUCGCAGCCGGGGAAGAGCGCUUUUAUUAGUUCAAAACCAGUCGGCGGGUCCGUCCUUCGCGGGGCGCGGCCCGUCGUCCCCUUUUGGUGACUCUGGAUAACUUUGUGCCGAUCGCAUGGCCUCGCGCCGGCGACGCAUCUUUCAAAUGUCUGCCCUAUCAAAUGUCGAUGGUACGCGAUAGGCCUACCAUGUUGGCUACGGGUAACGGGGAAUCGGGGUUCGAUUCCGGAGAGGGAGCAUGAGAAA
Molecule: ribosomal RNA, 383 nt
Filed under: Lanistes sp. 1 AJ-2008
Lineage: Eukaryota; Metazoa; Mollusca; Gastropoda; Architaenioglossa; Ampullariidae
Description: bacterial SSU rRNA
Rfam family: Eukaryotic small subunit ribosomal RNA
Source: RNAcentral